CAGACAUAUACCGACGGACGCAGGAGCACGGACGAGAGACACAGAGAGAGAGAUAGAGAAGUGAGAAUGGCCUGGACAGUGAAACAGGUUUUUCAAGCCUCCUGACCAACUGCAGAUGAAGCAAGAUAAAUAAACAAGUUUUUGCUCCUUCCAUGAAGACACUGACGCCACCACUGAUAAAACAGUCUGAAGAAUUUGUGAGAAUAAAUGUCUAAUUAUUUGCUUUUGUGUCAUAUAUUCAUAAUAAUCCUGGCUGCAUAAUUCUGUGUACAUUAUGUGUAUAUAUUUGCUGAAUUGCUGCAAUGUAUGCAUUAAAUUAUAUAACUAUAAGUGAUUAUUCCCUGAGGAAUUACGCAACAGUUAAGUAAUCUAUGGUAAAGCAUUCAGGAAUACUGUAUACAAAGGCAGCAUUUGUCUUUUAGCAUACCUGUUCGCUUUAUCUAAACGCUGCAGCAUUUCGGACAUGAUCCUCAGCGGCUGGGUAGGUAACGGAACCCAUAAUGCAGCUGAUGUGCUGAUUGACAGCUGGAUAUGGAUUCCGUUUCCCUCCUCUCUCGCAAUAUGGAGUGAUCCCCUGCAGAUGAUCAUCACUGGUGUGCACCUGGAAUCAAGCGUAUGAGUGUAGAUGAGGUUAGAAACAAAUAACCAAUAAGUUUCAGUGCCUUUAAAAGUACAAUAAAUUCAUUUAUUUCAAUUUAUUUUCACUGCAUAUCAAAAAGUAAUGAGUACAUAUUGUGUUGUAAGAAAAUGUACAUAUUACAUGUUAAGUGUGAGACAAAGAAUAGGCCUAACUGUGAAAUGGAUGUGCUAAUCGUAAUACCUUUUAGCUCAUGCAAUGGAAGGUCAGAACUGAAGCUCCCUUACUAAGCCUGUUUAAAUAGCCAUAAUAUGUAUCAUGGCCAUCUUUUUUGUUGGCACAUAUUUGCCUAGGAGAAAGUGAAAAUUUCAUUCAUUUUACCUUUAAAUAUAUAAAAAAUGUAUGUUUGUUACUUCAUGUUAAUUUUAAACUUCCUUAAAAAGAAAUGGUCUUGAUAUUACCUUAGAGUCACACACUUUCUCCUGCACUGCAAGAAUAUGUGCCUGGGAAAAGGUGAAAAUGUCACUAAUUGUACCUUUAAAUAAAGUACAUGUUUACCAAUGCCUGUUAUGUGUCUUGAUGUUGCUGUAGAAUGACACGUUUUCUCCCGGAUUGCCAGAAUUACUGUUCGCCACCGGGAACUUCGUGUCAGACAAAAGUGACAUCAAAAUCUACCGGGUGUCCACCGUCCUGAUUGUAACAAUAACAAGUCUAGAAAUAAAAGACAAAUCUAGUAAGAAAAUAAUGACUGGGCUGUUCUAUCUGAAUGUUUUUUAAUACCUUUGUUGCUCAAUAAAUAAUGCAGAACCAACUA
Molecule: long non-coding RNA, 1391 nt
Organism: Pygocentrus nattereri (red-bellied piranha)
Lineage: Eukaryota; Metazoa; Chordata; Actinopteri; Characiformes; Serrasalmidae
Exons: 2
Source: RefSeq, a predicted model, not a curated record